This 839-nucleotide ribosomal RNA is filed under the name uncultured bacterium. Its description in RNAcentral is "bacterial SSU rRNA". It matches the Rfam family "Bacterial small subunit ribosomal RNA", at positions 29 to 861 of the family's 1533-position model. The record is from RNAcentral.
ACGAACGCUGGCGGCGCGUCUUAAGCAUGCAAGUCGGACGGCAAGCUGUAGCAAUACAGCCUAGAGUGGCGGACUGGUGAGUAACGCGUGGGUGACCUACCCUUGAGUUGGGGAUAACCGUUAGAAAUAGCGGAUAAUACCGAAUACGAUCGUGACCCUGUGGGGAUACGAUGAAAGGAGCUACGGCUCCGCUCGAGGAUGGGCCCGCGUCCCAUUAGCUAGUUGGUGAGGUAACGGCCCACCAAGGCGACGAUGGGUAUCCGGCCUGAGAGGGUGUACGGACACAUUGGGACUGAGAUACGGCCCAAACUCCUACGGGAGGCAGCAGCUAAGAAUAUUCCGCAAUGGACGAAAGUCUGACGGAGCGACGCCGCGUGGAUGAAGAAGGCCGAAAGGUUGUAAAAUCCUUUUGCCGGUGAAGAAUAAGUGCGGUAGGGAAUGACCGCAUGAUGAUAUUAGUCGGUGAAUAAGCCCCGGCUAACUACGUGCCAGCAGCCGCGGUAACACGUAGGGGGCAAGCGUUGUUCGGAAUUAUUGGGCGUAAAGGGCAUGUAGGCGGUUUUGUAAGCCUGGUGUGAAAUCCUGCAGCUUAACUGUAGAAUUGCAUUGGGUACUGCGAGACUUGAAUCACAGAGGGGAAACUAGAAUUCCAGGUGUAGGGGUGGAAUCUGUAGAUAUCUGGAAGAAUACCGGUGGCGAAGGCGGGUUUCUAGCUGAUGAUUGACGCUGAGGUGCGAAAGUGCGGGGAGCAAACAGGAUUAGAUACCCUGGUAGUCCGCACCGUAAACGAUGUACACUAGGUGUCGGGGCAUGAGUCUCGGUGCCAAAGCUAACGUGAU